Molecule: long non-coding RNA, 3693 nt
Filed under: Triticum aestivum (bread wheat)
Lineage: Eukaryota; Viridiplantae; Streptophyta; Magnoliopsida; Poales; Poaceae
Description: long non-coding RNA (TAES_LNC002867)
Source: RNAcentral
CUUUGUGGUACACGAAUGUUGAUGAUCUGAAUCCAGAAGCAUGGUAUGUGUUCUCCCCCUGUUUACUAGUACAGUCUUGCUAUGAUAGCCUUCUAUUUGAUACAUUUGUUCACCUGUUUACACAUAUCUGGUUUAGUUAGUACUGUCAUGCAAUGCUAGCCUGCUAUGUGAUACAUUUGUUUUUCUGUUUUUCUGAACUCUGAACAUGCAGAUGGUCUUUGUUGGUGUCAAACUGUCAAAUAUUUGCAUGAUAUGCAGCUAUGUGUUUCUGUAUGAUAUGAAUCCACAUGUAUAUGAUAUGAUGCUCAGUUGUUGUAAUUUAAAAAUGGUUAUGACAGAAACAGAAAGCAAAUAAGUGUAUCCAUCUUAUUUGAAACUCUGAACAUUUAGUCUCUCCUUGACGGCCUUUGUACUGUACUUAACUAGUAAUAAGAAAUCCUUUCUUAUAUUUCGGUAGAUUAGAAUACUGCCUAGUCAAUCUUAAAAAUUACAAAUGAAAUGUUCUUUGCUUAAAUGUGAUGUCUUUUUUUUUGUUAAACCCUGUUGUUAUAUGAAGUCGAUUGUUUGAUCAUCUAGUGUUGUCUCGGUAGGGGAGUGGAUUCUCACCCACCUGGUGGGUUCCUUGGUUUUUUUAAGAACAUGCCAAGCCUUUCCCAAGCUGUGAGCAAUGGGACUUCAUCGCAACAAAUCAAGAAAGGAGAUGCCACCAAUGGUGGCGAGUGUGCAAGGACUGAAAAGCGCUUGCUGUGGACAAAAGAGGAAGAUCUUAGAUUGGUAAGCUUUUUUUCCAUGUUGGUCUCCAUGUGUUACAUUACUAGGAGAAGAAUAAACCUCUUUUGGUAAUAUUGUAGGUUGGUGCUUGGUUGAAUAAUUCAAACGAUCCAAUCCAAUCAAAUUACAAGAAGAACGACCAAUACUGGAACGAAGUUGCUGCUGUCUACAAUAGUACCACUCCCAAAAACAGGGAAAGGCUAGUCAAGCAAGUGAAGGAUCGCUUUGGGAGAAUUAAGAAAAGGGUUGCAUGGUUUUGUGGGAGUUACAAGGAAGCUAGUGCACUGUAUGCUAGUGGUGAAUCUGAUGCAGAUUUAAAGAAGAGGGCAAUGCAAACUUAUGAGGCAGAUCACCCAGGAGACGGUCCAUUUAUGUUUGAGCAUUGUUGGGUAGUUCUAAAAGAGCAACCAAAAUGGGAUGCAUAUUUGGAACGCCUAGAAGAUGUGGAGCCGGACAAGAAGAUGUAGUCAAUAGUCAAAUUACACUUAACUAUAGUGUAUUUCAGAUAACCAUGUAGAAGUGCAAAAAAUCAUGUAGUCAAUAGUCAAAUUACACUUAACUACAAUGCAUUCCAGAUAACCAUGUAGAAGUGCAAAAAAUCAUGUAGUCAAUAGUCAAAUUACACUUAACUACAGUGCAUUCCAGAUAACCAUGCAACCAUAAUUAUACACUCAGGACACUUGAGACAUCUAUAUAAUGCCCCAUCUCAGGUUUAGACUCAUCCACCCAAACCCAUCUUCCUUCCCAUACCUCUCAUCUUCCUGCUCAGCCUACAAACCAAUCUUCCUCACCCACCAUGUCAGAUUCAUCAUCAUACUCAGAUGACUCUGAUGAACUAGCCCCAUCCAAAAUCAUGGAAGAGUAUGUUGCUGAGCAAACCGUCUUGGACUCCUUUGCCGAGCGACUCAUGAUGAAGAUCAAGGCUAGGAUUUCAGCUGGAUCAUCUCAGCGACAAAGUGGUCCAAGGAAGAUCAUUCGAAGGGAUCAUGGAGGUGCUCAUGAACGUUUGGUGGAGGACUAUUUUGCUGCUGAUCCACUCUACGACGAGAGUAUGUUUCGUACAAGAUUUCGCAUGAAUAAACACCUCUUCCUACGCAUUGUGAAUGCCCUUGGUCAGUGGUCUCCCUAUUUCACUUAUAGGGCAGAUUGUUCUGGCCGAAUAGGCCUCUCACCAUUGCAGAAGUGUACUGCAGCCAUGCGCAUGCUAGCGUAUGGCACCCCUGCAGAUGCCCUUGAUGAGUACUUGAAGAUUGGGAAGUCCACUGCAUUAGAGUGUAUGGACAAGUUUGCACGGGGUGUGAUUGCGGUGUUUGACGGGGAAUACUUGCGACGCCCCACAAGAGAGGAUAUUGAGCACUUGCUUCAGGUUAAUGAGUCUCGUGGUUUUCCUGGAAUGUUAGGAAGUAUUGAUUGCAUGCACUGGUGAUGGGAUAAGUGUCCUUUAGCAUGGAGGGGGCAAUUCACCCGUGGUGAUUAUGGAGUGCCUACAAUGAUCCUAGAAGCCGUUGCUUCCCAGGACCUUCGUAUUUGCCAUGCUUUCUUUGGAAUUGCUGGGUCAAACAAUGACCUUAAUGUGCUCAACCAGUCCCCACUGUUUUUUGAUGCCUUGAAAGGAGAAGCCCCUCAAGUUCAGUUUUCAGUCAAUGGAAAUGAGUAUAGCACGGGUUACUACCUUGCUGAUGGUAUAUACCCAGAGUGGGCUGCCUUCAUGAAGACCAUACCACUUCCCCAAACAGAUAAACAUAAGUUAUUUGCCAAGUACCAAGAAGGGGCAAGGAAAGAUGUGGAGCGUGCUUUUGGGGUAUUGCAGUCCCGCUUUACCAUUGUUCGCCGGCCUGCACGACUAUGGCAGAGAAAGAGUGUUGGAAGGAUCAUGCGAGCAUGUGUGAUUCUCCACAAUAUGAUAGUCGAAGAUGAGAGAGAGCAAGUUAACGUUCAUAUUGACUUGAAUGAGAUUCCAGGGGCUUCAUUUGAUCUACCCUCUGAAGUGAAUGUUGGUGGUAAUCUUUGUUUUGCUGAUGUACUGCGUAGGAAAGCUACCAUCCGUGCUCGUCCACAACAUAACCAACUUAAAAAUAUUCUGGUCGAGCAUAUUUGGCAUAGGGCUCAAAAUAGGCAUCACAAUUAGUCACGGUGGGAUAUUGACAUCUGCAUGUUACUAUUCUUUUUUCCUUCCUGUUAACGGAGGAUCAACAUUAUAUCUUACAUACAUUUUAUUCCAGGACUAUGCCGUGUCGUGGUGACUGCUGCAUGUGCAACCUACUCGUAUGCAUUCUCUACUUACAGUUUAGUCUUUUAUAGCUUGUUCAUGUUCCUAUUGGCAAUGUACUUGAUUUUACUGAACAUGUAUAGUUGUUGGAUUACAGAAGUUAUAGCCUAUAAUAGUGAAUCAUAAUGCAACUCUUACUGUCAUGAGCAUGCCAUCUUCAUCUCAUCAUCAUUUGCAUUCAUGCGGAAAUAUUUACCAUAUGCUUUGUUUCCAUUUUUUCAUACAGUGGCUGAAGAUUGUUGACGCAGAUGGAUUUGUCGCUCCUUUCUAUUGAAGUUCCAACUUAUCAUCGUCAAGAUCAAAACUAAUGGCUUAUUUGCAUUGUCUCUUGUUUGGUUAAUGUUUUCUUAAAAAGACUGGUGUAAUGUUUGAGUGUCGAUGUCAUGGUGUUAUGCGCCAUUAGUUUGUUGAUCGUCGACGCCAAGAUUAAAACUAACGGCUUGUUUGCCGGGCGUCUUAUUUAGUUCUAUGUUUGGUUAAUGCUUCCUUGGAAAGACUCAAGCAAUGUUCAACUGUUUUGUCAUGGUGCUAUGCGCAGCUGUUUCUUGCUUGUUUAUUAAUUAGUUUUCCUUGGUCUGUUCUAUUGACAUGAAUGGAAUAUAUGUAUACAUAAUUAUUGAAAUUGCUUGAAUAUUGAUCAGUUUCUUUUGGUA